Molecule: ribosomal RNA, 305 nt
Filed under: uncultured bacterium
Lineage: Bacteria
Description: bacterial SSU rRNA
Rfam family: Bacterial small subunit ribosomal RNA
Source: RNAcentral
GCACUCCUACGGGACGCAGCAGUAGGGAAUCUUCCACAAUGGGCGAAAGCCUGAUGGAGCAACGCCGCGUGGGUGAAGAAGGUCUUCGGAUCGUAAAACCCUAUUGUUAGAAAAGAAAGUGCGUGAGAGUAACUGUUCACGUUUCGACGGUAUCUAACCAAAAAGCCACGGCUAACUACGUGCCAGCAGCCGCGGUAAUACGUAGGUGGCAAGCGUUAUCCGGAUUUAUUGGGCGUAAAGGGAACGCAGGCGGUCUUUUAAGUCUGAUGUGAAAGCCUUCGGCUUAACCGGAGUAGUGCAUUGGG